CCAGACUCCUACGGGAGGCAGCAGUGGGGAAUAUUGGACAAUGGGGGAAACCCUGAUCCAGCGACGCCGCGUGAGUGAAGAAGUAUUUCGGUACGUAAAGCUCUAUCAGCAGGAAAGAAAAUGACGGUACCUGACUAAGAAGCCCCGGCUAACUACGUGCCAGCAGCCGCGGUAAUACGUAGGGGGCAAGCGUUAUCCGGAUUUACUGGGUGUAAAGGGAGCGUAGACGGCAGCACAAGUCUGGAGUGAAAUGCCGGGGCUUAACCCCGGAACUGCUUUGGAAACUGUGCAGCUAGAGUGCAGGAGAGGUAAGUGGAAUUCCUAGUGUAGCGGUGAAAUGCGUAGAUAUUAGGAGGAGCGCCAGUGGCGAAGGCGGCUUACUGGACUGUAACUGACGUUGAGGCUCGAAAGCGUGGGGAGCAAACAG
This 427-nucleotide ribosomal RNA is filed under the name uncultured bacterium. Its description in RNAcentral is "bacterial SSU rRNA". It matches the Rfam family "Bacterial small subunit ribosomal RNA", at positions 331 to 775 of the family's 1533-position model. The record is from RNAcentral.